CCGGUAAACGGCGGCCGUAACUAUAACGGUCCUAAGGUAGCGAAAUUCCUUGUCGGGUAAGUUCCGACCUGCACGAAUGGCGUAAUGAUGGCCAGGCUGUCUCCACCCGAGACUCAGUGAAAUUGAACUCGCUGUGAAGAUGCAGUGUACCCGCGGCAAGACGGAAAGACCCCGUGAACCUUUACUAUAGCUUGACACUGAACAUUGAGCCUUGAUGUGUAGGAUAGGUGGGAGGCUUUGAAGUGUGGACGCCAGUCUGCAUGGAGCCGACCUUGAAAUACCACCCUUUAAUGUUUGAUGUUCUAACGUUGACCCGUAAUCCGGGUUGCGGACAGUGUCUGGUGGGUAGUUUGACUGGGGCGGUCUCCUCCUAAAGAGUAACGGAGGAGCACGAAGGUUGGCUAAUCCUGGUCGGACAUCAGGAGGUUAGUGCAAUGGCAUAAGCCAGCUUGACUGCGAGCGUGACGGCGCGAGCAGGUGCGAAAGCAGGUCAUAGUGAUCCGGUGGUUCUGAAUGGAAGGGCCAUCGCUCAACGGAUAAAAGGUACUCCGGGGAUAACAGGCUGAUACCGCCCAAGAGUUCAUAUCGACGGCGGUGUUUGGCACCUCGAUGUCGGCUCAUCACAUCCUGGGGCUGAAGUAGGUCCCAAGGGUAUGGCUGUUCGCCAUUUAAAGUGGUACGCGAGCUGGGUUUAGAACGUCGUGAGACAGUUCGGUCCCUAUCUGCCGUGGGCGCUGGAGAACUGAGGGGGGCUGCUCCUAGUACGAGAGGACCGGAGUGGACGCAUCACUGGUGUUCGGGUUGUCAUGCCA
Molecule: ribosomal RNA, 812 nt
Filed under: Escherichia coli
Lineage: Bacteria; Pseudomonadati; Pseudomonadota; Gammaproteobacteria; Enterobacterales; Enterobacteriaceae
Description: partial 23S ribosomal RNA
Rfam family: Bacterial large subunit ribosomal RNA
Source: RNAcentral